GGCCUUUAGAUUAUAAUUUAAGGUCUGACCUGCCCAAUGAUUAUUUUGAAUGGCCGCAGUAUUUUGACUGUGCAAAGGUAGCAUAAUCAUUAGUUUUUUAAUUGAAAGCUUGAAUGAAUGGUUUGAUGAAAAAAUAGCUGUCUCAAUAAAAUUUAUUUAGAAUUUUAAUUUUAAGUGAAAAAGCUUAAAUAUUUUAUGAAGACGAGAAGACCCUAUAGAGUUUAAUAUUAUUUUUAUUUAUUGUUUUAGGUUUAUUUUACAUAUUAAUGUAAAUAGUAUUAUGUUGGGGUGACAGAAAAAUUUAAGUAACUUUUUAUGUUUUAAUACAUUGGUUUAUGGAUUUAUGAUCCUUAUUUUUUGGAUUAUAAGAUUAAAUUACCUUAGGGAUAACAGCGUAAUUUCUUUGGAGAGUUCUUAUCAAUAGAGAAGUUUGCGA
Molecule: ribosomal RNA, 436 nt
Filed under: Dailognatha quadricollis
Lineage: Eukaryota; Metazoa; Arthropoda; Insecta; Coleoptera; Tenebrionidae
Description: partial 16S ribosomal RNA
Source: RNAcentral